Molecule: ribosomal RNA, 629 nt
Filed under: uncultured marine eukaryote
Lineage: Eukaryota
Description: SSU rRNA
Rfam family: Eukaryotic small subunit ribosomal RNA
Source: RNAcentral
UCGGUAAUUCCAGCUCCAAUAGCGUAUAUUAAAAUUGUUGCCGUUAAAAAGCUCGUAGUCGAACUUCGGGCUCUGUCAGCCGGUCCGCCUUCUUGGUGUGUACUUGUUUGACGGAGCCUUACCUCCUGGUGAACGGCGAUGUCCUUUACUGGGUGUCGUCGCAAACCAGGACUUUUACUUUGAAAAAAUUAGAGUGUUCAAAGCAGGCCUUUGCCCGAAUACAUUAGCAUGGAAUAAUAAAAUAGGACGCGCGUUCCCAUUUUGUUGGUUUCUGAGAUCGCCGUAAUGAUUAAUAGGGAUAGUUGGGGGCAUUUGUAUUCCGUCGUCAGAGGUGAAAUUCUUGGAUUGCCGGAAGACAAACUACUGCGAAAGCAUUUGCCAAGGAUGUUUUCAUUGAUCAAGAACGAAGGAAGGGGGAUCGAAAACGAUUAGAUACCGUUGUAGUCUCUUCUGUAAACUAUGCCAAUUGGGGAUCGGUACAGGAUUUUUAAUGACUGUAUCGGCACCCGAAGAGAAAUCUUUAAAUGAGGUUCGGGGGGGAGUAUGGUCGCAAGGCUGAAACUUAAAGGAAUUGACGGAAGGGCACCACCAGGUGUGGAGCCUGCGGCUUAAUUUGACUCAACACGGGA